GUAGGUGAACCUGCGGAAGGAUCAUUAUUGAAGUAAACCUGAUAGAUUGUUGCUGGUUCUUUAAUGAACAUGUGCACAUCUGUCAUCUUUAUAUCUCCACCUGUGCACCUUUUGUAGACCUGGACAAGUUUCUUAAUCCUAGUAUUAAGGUUUUGGGAUUGACUUUAUUGACUUUCCUUAUAUUUCUGGGUCUAUGUUUAUUCAAAUACCCUAAUGUAUGUUAUAGAAUGUAAUAAGUGGGCCUUUGUGCCUAUAACAAUAUACAACUUUCAGCAACGGAUCUCUUGGCUCUC
RNAcentral lists this unclassified non-coding RNA (293 nucleotides) under rhizosphere metagenome. RNAcentral's name for it is "partial ribosomal RNA internal transcribed spacer region". The record is from RNAcentral.